RNAcentral lists this ribosomal RNA (219 nucleotides) under Enterobacter cloacae subsp. cloacae. RNAcentral describes it as "partial 23S ribosomal RNA". It matches the Rfam family "Bacterial large subunit ribosomal RNA", at positions 2730 to 2925 of the family's 2925-position model. Lineage: Bacteria; Pseudomonadati; Pseudomonadota; Gammaproteobacteria; Enterobacterales; Enterobacteriaceae. The record is from RNAcentral.
CAAUGGCACUGCCCGGUAGCUAAAUGCGGAAGAGAUAAGUGCUGAAAGCAUCUAAGCACGAAACUUGCCCCGAGAUGAGUUCUCCCUGAGACUUUAAGUCUCCUGAAGGAACGUUAAAGACUAUGACGUUGAUAGGUCGGGUGUGUAAGCGCAGCGAUGCGUUGAGCUAACCGAUACUAAUGAACCGUGAGGCUUAACCUUACAACGCCGAAGGUGUUU